UUAUUUUUAUAAUACUAUGAUGGUGGCACAAAAUCGGAGGCCCCGACUGUUUACUAAAAACACAAUUCAGAGCAAUGAUGUAAAUCAUAGUAUUCUGGAUGAAAUUUGCCCAAUGCCAUUAACAUAAAAGAGGUAAUAGGAAACUGUUACUAAUUGAAAGUCUGGUUAAUAGCGGUCUUAACUAUGAGGAUCCUAAGGUAGCAAAAUCAGUUGGCCAUUAAAUGUGGUCUGGUAUCAAUAGUGUAACGAUGGUCUCACUGUCUCUACAACUUGCUCAGUGAAAUUGAAUUACCCGUGCAGAUGCGGGUUGCCCCCAGGUGGNCGGGAAGACCCUAUG
Molecule: ribosomal RNA, 337 nt
Filed under: Sarcodon imbricatus
Lineage: Eukaryota; Fungi; Basidiomycota; Agaricomycetes; Thelephorales; Thelephoraceae
Description: LSU rRNA
Rfam family: Bacterial large subunit ribosomal RNA
Source: RNAcentral